This 497-nucleotide ribosomal RNA is filed under the name uncultured bacterium. Its description in RNAcentral is "partial 16S ribosomal RNA". It matches the Rfam family "Bacterial small subunit ribosomal RNA", at positions 28 to 507 of the family's 1533-position model. The record is from RNAcentral.
GACGAACGCUGGCGGCGUGCCUAAUACAUGCAAGUUGAGCGCUGAAGGUUGGUACUUGUACCAACUGGAUGAGCAGCGAACGGGUGAGUGACGCGUGGGGAAUCUGCCUUUGAGCGGGGGACAACAUUUGGAAACGAAUGCUAAUACCGCAUAAAAACUUUAAACACAAGUUUUAAGUUUGAAAGAUGCAAUUGCAUCACUCAAAGAUGAUCCCGCGUUGUAUUAGCUAGUUGGUGAGGUAAAGGCUCACCAAGGCGAUGAUACAUAGCCGACCUGAGAGGGUGAUCGGCCACAUUGGGACUGAGACACGGCCCAAACUCCCACGGGAGGCAGCAGUAGGGAAUCUUCGGCAAUGGACGAAAGUCUGACCGAGCAACGCCGCGUGAGUGAAGAAGGUUUUCGGAUCGUAAAACUCUGUUGGUAGAGAAGAACGUUGGUGAGAGUGGAAAGCUCAUCAAGUGACGGUAACUACCCAGAAAGGGACGGCUAACUACGUG